CUCGAACCACUUUCUAAUUGAAACAACCCGACCCAUUUUUUUUUAAACAUAAUUAAAUAUUCCCAUAAAUAUCUAAUUAAACCAACCAAUAAAGUAACAAUUAAACCGCAAGUCAAAAAUGUUAUUUUAUGAAUAAAUAAAUAAUUCAACCAACAAAACCAAGAAUGACUAAAAAUCCUAACACAACCCUAACCGGUUCCAAUAACCAACACAUAAAAAUAAACCAAACGAGUUCCUAGAUCAUCCUCUCUUCCUUGCCAUGAUUCCACGAUCACACUUUAUCUUUACCUGCAUCAACA
Molecule: small RNA, 299 nt
Filed under: Arabidopsis thaliana (thale cress)
Lineage: Eukaryota; Viridiplantae; Streptophyta; Magnoliopsida; Brassicales; Brassicaceae
Description: ATSL095770
Source: RNAcentral